GGAUGCGACCAUACCAGCACUAAAGCACCGCAUCCCAUCAGAACUCUGGAGUUAAGCGUGCUUGGGCGAGAGUAGUACUAGGAUGGGUGACCUCCUGGGAUGUCCUCGUGUUGCUUUCC
This 119-nucleotide ribosomal RNA is filed under the name Aegilops tauschii subsp. strangulata. Lineage: Eukaryota; Viridiplantae; Streptophyta; Magnoliopsida; Poales; Poaceae. The record is from RNAcentral.